Salarias fasciatus (jewelled blenny) is the source of this 579-nucleotide long non-coding RNA. RefSeq lists it as uncharacterized. The transcript has 4 exons. NCBI's taxonomy places the organism in Eukaryota, Metazoa, Chordata, Actinopteri, Blenniiformes, Blenniidae. The record is from RefSeq and is a predicted model, not a curated record.
CCUUCAUAUAGGUUGGUGGUGAGGCUCAUCAGACCCAUCUUUGACAAGCCGAAGUCUGUGAGUUUGAUGUGGCCCAUUGAGGUAAUCAGGAGACUGUAUGAAGAGAAGACAACAGGCAUUAAUAAUAUCUGCUCCUGCACCAUAAUCAAUACGCCCGUUGGCUGACCCGCUCACAGCCUGCAGCAGUACCUUCAACAUACUCCAUGACCAUGCAGAGAUGCCGCCGCGUUUCAAAGGAGCAGAACAUGGAGACGACGAACGGAUUCUCCGCAAAGUCUAAAAACACGCCGCACGGGGUUCAGCGUCUUGCCCAAGGACGCGCGGAUGAAGGUGGGACGGGAUAUUGAAGUGACAACCUUGGGACUGGAAGACAACCUGCUCCAUCAUCUGAGGCACAGCCUGCCGUAAAAUAAUCACUUCCUGUUGUGAUGCGGAUCCUCGAGGGUCUCUGGUCAGCCCCAGCUGACUGAUGAUAUAUCGGGGGAUGUCCGUCUUCAUCAGUUGUCCCUCCUUGGCGUGAUCCUCCGCCGCCUCCAGCAGAUGGUAGAACUCUUCCGGGUUGAACUCCUGUUAUUAAAA